GUUUUUGAUUCAUAGAAACAAAAGUCAGGCAAAAAAAAAACAAUGGGGUUUAUAAUGGCGGGUCUGGGUCAACUCUAGAGUUUUGCCAAACCCAAAUACAAUUACAGUGCACAAAGGUAUAUGAAAGUAAGUGCCCCUUUAAAAAGGCCAUGCUCACUUAGCUGGUAGCCAAGCUUGCACCUUACUCUAUAAUUUUAUAAUGAUCCAACCGCAGGUUCACCUACGGUUA
This 229-nucleotide unclassified non-coding RNA is filed under the name uncultured fungus. RNAcentral describes it as "sequence contains ITS1". Lineage: Eukaryota; Fungi. The record is from RNAcentral.